AUUGAACGCUGGCGGCAGGCUUAACACAUGCAAGUCGAGCGGAGACUUCGGUCUUAGCGGCGAACGGGUGAGUAAUACCUAGGAAUCUGCCUAUUAGUGGGGGAUAACGAAUCGAAAGGUUCGCUAAUACCGCAUACGUCCUACGGGAGAAAGGGGGGGAGUCUUCGGACCUCUCGCUAAUAGAUGAGCCUAGGCCGGAUUAGCUAGUUGGUAGGGUAAAGGCCUACCAAGGCGACGAUCUGUAGCUGGUCUGAGAGGAUGGCCAGCCACACUGGAACUGAGACACGGUCCAGACUCCUACGGGAGGCAGCAGUGGGGAAUAUUGGACAAUGGGGGCAACCCUGAUCCAGCCAUGCCGCGUGUGUGAAGAAGGCCCUAGGGUUGUAAAGCACUUUCAGUAGGGAGGAAUUAGUAGGGUUAAUAACCUUAUGAAUGACGUUACCUACAGAAGAAGUACCGGCUAACUCCGUG
Molecule: ribosomal RNA, 471 nt
Filed under: uncultured bacterium
Lineage: Bacteria
Description: bacterial SSU rRNA
Rfam family: Bacterial small subunit ribosomal RNA
Source: RNAcentral